GUGCCAGCAGCCGCGGUAAGACAUAAGGGGCAAGUGUUAUCCGGAAUUAUUGGGCGUAAAGGGUGCGUAGGCGGUCUAGUAAGUCAGUGGUGUAAUGGCAACGCUCAACGUUGUCCGGCUAUUGAAACUGCUAAACUUGAGUUAGAUAGAGGCGAGUGGAAUUCCAUGUGUAGCGUAAAAUGCGUAAAUAUAUGGAGGAACACCAGAGGCGUAGGCGGCUCGCUGGGUCUUAACUGACGCUGAGGCACGAAAGCGUGGGGAGCAAACAGGAUUAGAUACCCUGGUAGUCCACGCCGUAAACGAUGAGUACUAAGUGUCGGGUUAAACCGGUACUGAAGUUAACACAUUAAGUACUCCGCCUGAGUAGUACGUACGCAAGUAUGAAACUUAAAGGAAUUGACGGGACUCGCACAAGCGGUGGAUCAUGUUGUUUAAUUCGAAGAUACCCGAAAAACCUUACCAGGUCUUGACAUGUUUUUGCGAAACGGUAGUAAUAUCGUGGAGGUUAUCAGAAACACAGGUGGUGCAUGGUUGUCGUCAGCUCGUGUCGUGAGAUGUUAGGUUAAGUCCUAAAACGAGGCGAAACCCUUAUCGUUAGUUGCCAGCACGUUAUGGUGGGGACUUUAACGAGACUGCCAGUGAUAAAUUGGAGGAAGGUGAGGAUCACGUCAAAUCAGCAUGCCCCUUAUGACCUGGGCUACAAACGUGAUACAAUGGCUGUUACAAAGGGUAGCUGAAACGCAAGUUCUUGGCCAAUCCCCAAAAACAGUCUCAGUCCGGAUUGAAGUCUGCAACUCGACUUCAUGAAGUUGGAAUCGCUAGUAAUCGCGAAUCAGCAUGUCGCGGUGAAUACGUUCUCGGGGUUUGUACACACCGCCCGUCAAACCACGAAAGUUGGCAAUACCCCAAAACGGUAGCCUAACUCGUUUAUCGAGAGGGCGCUGUCUAAGGUAGGGUCGAUGAUUGGGGUUAAGUCGUAACAAGGUAUCCCUACCGGAAGGUGGGGAUGGAUC
This 1013-nucleotide ribosomal RNA is filed under the name Lime witches'-broom phytoplasma. RNAcentral describes it as "bacterial SSU rRNA". It matches the Rfam family "Bacterial small subunit ribosomal RNA", at positions 505 to 1524 of the family's 1533-position model. Lineage: Bacteria; Bacillati; Mycoplasmatota; Mollicutes; Acholeplasmatales; Acholeplasmataceae. The record is from RNAcentral.